UUUCUGCUAUCAGUUGAACAUGCAUGCUUCUCGCUGUCGCCAUCGACAUCAAUGGAAGCCUGAUAAAUAGUUUGACCACCCUUUAUCAGCAGAAAAAGAAAGGGACAGUAUUUCUCUGGACCAUAUAGCCUACACCUGGCAUUUUUUUUCUUCUCAAACAAGAGCAGAUACAGUAGGUGACUCUGUGCCCUAUGACAGAGUGUUCUUCAGUGUUACCUCAGUUCCAGGAGUCCCAGCAGGACAUGGACGGGGAGUCAGGGCGUUCAGAACAUCACCAACAGCCCAUGACACCGAGACAGUUUCAGGACUGGCGGAAUAGUCUAGGCAAGAGUUCAGCACUAGACCAGGAUAGACUGAACCUGCAAGGUCUUGACCAGGGUCCAGCACAAGACAAGGAAACACUGCCAGGUCUUGACCAGGGUCCAGCACAAGACAAGGAAACACUGCCAGGUCUUGACCAGGGUCCAGCACAAGACAAGGAAACACUGCCAGGUCUUGACCAGGGUCCAGCACAAGACAAGGAAACACUGCCAGGUCUUGACCAGGGUCCAGCACAAGACAAGGAAACACUGCCAGGUCUUGACCAGGGUCCAGCACAAGACAAGGAAACACUGCCAGGUCUUGACCAGGGUCCAGCACAAGACAAGGAAACACUGCAUGGUUUUAAACAGGGACCAGCACAAGACCAGGCGAGUCGGAAUUACUUCCAUCAAGUCCAGGAUCAGGAUCGUUCACUAGGCUCCAAUAAAUGCACAACAGAAGAACAGGAUCCUUCCAUAAAGGUCUCAGUCCAGGAUGAGGAUCCACCAGGGAACCAGGACUAUCAAUGUAAUUUAGACCUGGAGCAAUGCACAGCUCAUAGCGCAGACCAGGGUGAAAACAGGCUGAGUGGUGUGAACCAGGAUCCAGUAUAUUUUGGUCCCGCACAAGACCACAGCAGCCCUCAUGACAUCCCCAUUCUGGUAUCAGCUGGGAACCAGAACCAAACACAGGACUCAAUCCAUGAUCUAGCUGGUGGAAUGGAUCUACCACACUGCACAGAUCCAAAUCCAACCCCAAAACAGGACCAAGAGAAACUGCUUGGGACAGACCAGGAGCAGGCCCUAGUGGACCCAGACAGACGACUUAACCCAAACCAGGACCACGCCACAGAUGAGGCUUGUGGGGAAGAUGCGGCAGGGGAACAAGGCGCCUGUAUCCCAGCGGUGGUGAUCACUCAGACAGAAGGGAGCCGGGGGCCAGUGGUGAAUCAAGGUGGAGAGACAGCGCCAGAGGUAACGGAGAGAGUGGAGGCUGGACCACUGUGUCCACAGACACCAGCAGAGAGGCCAGAGAUACCAACAGGACCAGAGAGACCACAAGAACUAGCAAUCGCAGCCAUGGUUCCAGUGACCACUUUAGACCUCAGCCCCAGCCCUCUCAGUGCAGACCUCAGUCCCAGCCUCAUCGAAGGGGGGGACCUACUGGCCUGCUGUGAUCUGCUGUCCCUGAAGAGUGACACUGUGUCCCUGGCCAGGAGUGAGGGAUAUGUCCAGGAAGAAGAUACAAGAAGUGUGGCUGCAUCCUCUGUCAUGUCUGUGUUCCCCAGGAUUCAGUUGGAUCCUCUGGAGAAGGACUGGCUACGAUCCUGUGCCCUGGGGAACACAGCUGCUCUCCGACAGCUCCUCACACAGGACCCCAGCCUGGCCUCAAAGAAGGACUUCAUCACUGUAAGUAGUUUCCAGUAUUUAUCCUACCAUCCUCCCUUCCUCUUUUCCUGGCUCUAA
RNAcentral lists this long non-coding RNA (1766 nucleotides) under Oncorhynchus kisutch (coho salmon). RNAcentral describes it as "lncRNA (ENSOKIG00005009353.1)". Lineage: Eukaryota; Metazoa; Chordata; Actinopteri; Salmoniformes; Salmonidae. The record is from RNAcentral.